UGAUACUUCUAUUAGUUACAUAUUCUCCAAUCGCAUCCUCGCACCCCCCUCGUUUUGAGAUCGCUCCCCUAGGCAGGCUCAGGCGGGCGCGGAGCGGCGCGGAGUGACAAAGCCGCCGCUGCCGCCGCCGGGGGUGGGAACCGCUCUCGCCCGCCCGCCCCUCGACUCGCGAGGGCGUAAAAGUUUGUCUCAGCUCGAGCGUUCGUAGCGCCAACACGCCCUCAGGUAAAGGUGGAAGUAAAUGGCCACGCUGUAUUGACAGAGAUUGAGAAACGGAAAUACCACCACCGUUCAGCCAAUCUGCUGGGAGGACUGCUUGCAGGGGACUCGUGCUCCAGAUGUUGCACUAGAGGCGCUGCAAGUGUGAGCAGCAGGUAGAUGAAACUCAAGAGAAAAGUGUGGGUAAACGAAACUAGCCGAUGAUGAACCUGUUUUCUCCCUGACCACAAUAUGAACCAGGAUGAUGGCGAAAUUGCCACAGCCACUCAAGCUUCAGCAGUCACCACCUUGAUCAGUCAGCAGUCAUCAACUUCAAGGCAAGAUCCUCCACCAGCAAAAAGAUUACAACUUACUGAAGGCUCAGAGGAUCGUUUGCAUGUUUUUUUUUUUUUCUUUUGCAGUAAAGUAUUUUUAAAUUAAGGUGGCAGUGGGCCUGCAUCACAGGUUGCAGCAGAUGUUCUCAAUAUUUCUAUUAACAUUUCCUUAUUUCCAUAUGCAAGAGGAGCCCCAGAGCCUCAUCCCUGUGGUAGCUACCAUGCCGUGAUGUAAGCUGCCGUUCACUAGGGAGCUUUGGCAAGAGAAUUGGCUAGAUCAACAAGCCCAUUUCCACUAUGGAACAACAACUUGCAGCUCAUCUCUAUUGCUGGAUAUCUAACAAUGAUAUUUGAAAAACAGAUACUAAGUCUUGGAGAGAUACACUGCCUCUAGGACUUGGACAGAUAGCCACUGAGAACCUGCUUCAAAUCACCUUGCACAUUUUCUUGUUGGAAAGAUAACCACUGGAGAACCAUCUCAUUACCUUCAGCAAAAGCGGAAACAAAUCAAGACAUUUAGAAUGCCACAGUGGACAGCAGUGGUUCAGCAGAGGAAGUUUACAAGACGGUGUGCCACACUAGCUAGAAAUCAGAAAAGAUCGAAGCUAGCCUUUUUAUCUCAGCGGCUCCUUAAAUCAGUGCAACCCCUCCAAAUUAAUGUGAAUUAAAACAUGCAUUGCCUUUCAACUUAAUUCAGUACUUUCUAUGUGUGAACCACUGCACAAAAUAGGGGAAGAAAAUGAGGGCAACAAAGAUGUGGAGCCUGUCUCCAGUGAAUUUAGAGUUAGUUUCAGGGUACAUUUUUUUUCCUUCUGCUGUUGAUUAGGUCUAUCCCUAAGACAAGAAAUAAAUGAAUGGAAAAGUA
This is a non-coding RNA of Saimiri boliviensis boliviensis (Bolivian squirrel monkey), 1398 nucleotides long. Lineage: Eukaryota; Metazoa; Chordata; Mammalia; Primates; Cebidae. The record is from RefSeq and is a predicted model, not a curated record.